This 322-nucleotide ribosomal RNA is filed under the name Gammaproteobacteria bacterium. RNAcentral's name for it is "bacterial SSU rRNA". It matches the Rfam family "Bacterial small subunit ribosomal RNA", at positions 1223 to 1533 of the family's 1533-position model. Lineage: Bacteria; Pseudomonadati; Pseudomonadota; Gammaproteobacteria. The record is from RNAcentral.
UGCUACAAUGGCCGGUACAAAGGGCUGCGAUCCCGUGAGGGUUAGCGAAUCCUUUAAAGCCGGUCUCAGUUCGGAUUGGGGUCUGCAACUCGACCCCAUGAAGUCGGAGUCGCUAGUAAUCGCAGAUCAGCAACGCUGCGGUGAAUACGUUCCCGGGCCUUGUACACACCGCCCGUCACGUCACGAAAGUCGGUAACACCCGAAGCCGGUGGCCUAACCCGCAAGGGGAGGAGCUGUCGAAGGUGGGACUGGCGAUUGGGACGAAGUCGUAACAAGGUAGCCGUACCGGAAGGUGCGGCUGGAUCACCUCCUUUCUAAGGAG